Molecule: unclassified non-coding RNA, 273 nt
Filed under: uncultured Ascomycota
Lineage: Eukaryota; Fungi; Ascomycota
Description: sequence contains ITS1
Source: RNAcentral
CAAAUACAAGUACGCCUAUGCGUCCAGGGUGGGACCGCGGCCCCCGGGGCCCCAGCGAUCUUCCUCUCACCGGCCGUGACCUUCGGCCGGGCUUGGUUGCGCGGGAGCAAGCCCCGGUGGUGUUGGGAUAGCCAUGCCCAUUCACGCACCCACGUCUGAAUCCUUCACUGUACGAGCACCUUUCGUUCUCCUUCGGCGGGGCGACCCGCCGUCGGAACCAACAAAAACCAUUUUGCAUCCAGCAUUACCCGUUCCGAUACAAACAAUGAAUUA